Molecule: ribosomal RNA, 538 nt
Filed under: Fusarium oxysporum
Lineage: Eukaryota; Fungi; Ascomycota; Sordariomycetes; Hypocreales; Nectriaceae
Description: eukaryotic LSU rRNA
Rfam family: 5.8S ribosomal RNA (bases 189-342)
Source: RNAcentral
UAACAAGGUCUCCGUUGGUGAACCAGCGGAGGGAUCAUUACCGAGUUUACAACUCCCAAACCCCUGUGAACAUACCACUUGUUGCCUCGGCGGAUCAGCCCGCUCCCGGUAAAACGGGACGGCCCGCCAGAGGACCCCUAAACUCUGUUUCUAUAUGUAACUUCUGAGUAAAACCAUAAAUAAAUCAAAACUUUCAACAACGGAUCUCUUGGUUCUGGCAUCGAUGAAGAACGCAGCAAAAUGCGAUAAGUAAUGUGAAUUGCAGAAUUCAGUGAAUCAUCGAAUCUUUGAACGCACAUUGCGCCCGCCAGUAUUCUGGCGGGCAUGCCUGUUCGAGCGUCAUUUCAACCCUCAAGCACAGCUUGGUGUUGGGACUCGCGUUAAUUCGCGUUCCUCAAAUUGAUUGGCGGUCACGUCGAGCUUCCAUAGCGUAGUAGUAAAACCCUCGUUACUGGUAAUCGUCGCGGCCACGCCGUUAAACCCCAACUUCUGAAUGUUGACCUCGGAUCAGGUAGGAAUACCCGCUGAACUUAAGCAU